ACAGCUAACAAGAGGCUUGAACAGAUCUACAAGGCAAAAACCAGAAAUCUUAAGAGAUAACACAAGCCCUAGCUCAUCGCCACACAGUUGCCUCGCAUCGCCUCUGCCACUAGAGAGAAAGAGGAGAGAGAAGAAAUGGGAAGAAAUGAAGCGGCGGACACGUCCACUACAAUAAAACGAAGACAAUAAAAGACACGAUUCCCUAAAUUGCAAAAAAGAAGAGGCUGACACGGAGGACCCACUCAAAGCCUAGAAGCAAACAUAU
RNAcentral lists this long non-coding RNA (265 nucleotides) under Sorghum bicolor (sorghum). Its description in RNAcentral is "long non-coding RNA (SBIC_LNC018011)". Lineage: Eukaryota; Viridiplantae; Streptophyta; Magnoliopsida; Poales; Poaceae. The record is from RNAcentral.